GGCAGUCCUGUUCAUAUAUAAGAAGACUAACCCCACAAUACAAAGUCACACAAAAUGUUCCUUUACAAACAUAAGUAGGCAAGUCAUAUUCAUUAAUAAGAAGGCUAACCCCACAAUACAAAGUCACACAAAAAGUUCCUAUACAAACACAAGUAGGCAGUCCUGUUCAUAUAUAAGAAGGCUAACCCCACAAUACAAAGUCACACAAAAAGUUCCUAUACAAACACAAGUAGGCAAGUCCUGUUCAUUAAUAAGAAGGCUAACCCCACAAUACAAAGUCACACAAAAUGUUCCUUUACAAACACAAGUAGGCAGUCCUGUUCAUAUAUAAGAAGGCAAGUCAUGUUCAUUAAUAAGAAGGCUAACCCCACAAUACAAAGUCACACAAAAAGUUCCUAUACAAACACAAGUAGGUAAGUCCUGUUCAUUAAUAAGAAGGCUAACCCCACAAUACAAAGUCACACAAAAAGUUCCUAUACAAACACAAGUAGGCAAGUCAUGUUCAU
RNAcentral lists this long non-coding RNA (506 nucleotides) under Mytilus galloprovincialis (Mediterranean mussel). The record is from RNAcentral. Lineage: Eukaryota; Metazoa; Mollusca; Bivalvia; Mytilida; Mytilidae.